CUAAAAUGUCCUGAAGCUAAAUUCAGAAGAAAUGGAGUUGAUUUUUGUGUCAAUAAGAUUUCAUUUCUGACCUUACAAAUGGAAAGCACAGCUUAAUUGGUUGAACGGCAGUUUCAGUACCUCAAGUAUUUGGGGAUCUUCCUGACCCAGGGAUCAAACCCAAGUCUCCUGCAUUGCAGGUGAAUUCGUUGCACUGAGCCACCAGGAAAGUGCCCCCUGCUGAAACUAAAUGCAAG
Molecule: long non-coding RNA, 236 nt
Filed under: Capra hircus (goat)
Lineage: Eukaryota; Metazoa; Chordata; Mammalia; Artiodactyla; Bovidae
Description: lncRNA (ENSCHIG00000007120.1)
Source: RNAcentral